UAAAAAUGUAAAUUUUAAAAUUAAAUAAUUAUUAGUUAUAAUCUUUAAAGUUAAAUAAUUUGGCGGUAUUUUAGUCUUUUCAGAGGAACCUGUUCUAUAAAUGAUAUUCCACGAUUAAAAAUUCUUAAGUUAGAAAUUUAUAUAUCAUCGUUAUUAAAUAUUUUUUUAGAAUUUAAUAUUUAUGAAAUAAAAUUAUAUUUUAGUUCAGAUCAAGGUAUAAUUUAUAUUUAAGUAGAAAUGGGUUACAAUAAUUUUAAUUUUGGAUUUUUUUUUUAAAAUUUAAAUGAAAUUGGAUUUGAAAGUAAUUAUUUUUUAUGUAUAAUGAUUAAGCUCUAAAAUAUGU
Molecule: ribosomal RNA, 343 nt
Filed under: Scymnus takasago
Lineage: Eukaryota; Metazoa; Arthropoda; Insecta; Coleoptera; Coccinellidae
Description: partial small subunit ribosomal RNA
Source: RNAcentral